UCGAGGAUCAUUCGCAAUGCGCGAAAGCGUGACGAUGCGACGCUGCGUGGAGGACGAAGGCCUUCGGGUCGUAAACUCCUGUCAUUCGGGAUCAAUGCUACGAGAACUAACACUUUUCGCGGAGGGAUAGUACCGGAAGAGGAAGUCACGGCUAACUCUGUGCCAGCAGCCGCGGUAAUACAGAGGUGGCAAGCGUUGUUCGGAUUUACUGGGCGUAAAGCGCUUGCAGGUGGUUGGAUAAGUCCGUAGUGAAAUUUCCCGGCUUAACUGGGAAGGGUCUACGGAAACUGUCCGGCUUGAGUGUGGGAGGGGUGGACGGAAUUCCCGGUGUAGCGGUGAAAUGCGUAGAUAUCUGGAAGAACGCCAAAGGCGAAGGCAGAUCUCUGGGCCGUUACUGACGCUGAGACGCGAAAGCUAGGGGAGCAAACAGG
Molecule: ribosomal RNA, 431 nt
Filed under: uncultured bacterium
Lineage: Bacteria
Description: bacterial SSU rRNA
Rfam family: Bacterial small subunit ribosomal RNA
Source: RNAcentral